AUCAGGUACCUAUGUGAAGAUUGCUCAGAGCUGGAGUUGGGGCCAGAUAGCUCAGGGGGCCCCUUCCAAGGUUAUCAGCUCUGAUGAGGUGUCCAAAUGUAAAACACGUGAGUGCAGAGACACAGCAGUGAAACUGUUCUUGACUCAACACAGCAUCUUUGCAAUCAUUUACAGGACUGUUGUGCUGGAGAGGCUCUAAUGCCUCCUUUCCUCUCAGUCACAACGCUGUUUUUCCUUUUUCCUAAGGCUUUUCUUUGCUUGAAUUUUCGUCCUGGCUGGAUAUAAAGCUGCCUUGUGACCUUGCAGGAUAUGUUGCAUGUAGUCCCUGCAGCUGGUGGUCAAAUGGGUCCUGUCACAUCUGAAAAACAGAUGGGCUGGUGGUGCAAACUGUGGAAGAUGGUUUUUCCAGGAGGCUUUGUGUGGGGUUGUGUUUAAUUUUGUGGUCUUUGUUCUCAUGCAGGGAUGAAGUCCAUCAGAUGCUAUAGACUCUGGCUGAGAGUGAUGACAUGCCCUUGGAAACCUCUCAUCACCCUCUAGCAUGACAGCCAGGUCCUGCCUCCAAAACAAGCCCACCUUGCUCCCUUUGAGCCACCACCACGCAGCAGCUGCUGAUUUGUCAUUUGCCUUCUCAAAACUAUCUCCUGAUAUGGAAACAGUUCAUCAUUGCCUGUAACCAGCAGGAACACCAGCAGGAACACCAGGUCCUGCCAGCAUCUCUUUUGAGCAUCAAGGUAAGUGGGUCUGGGACAGUUCUAUCUGGGGUAGGACAUUACUACUGAUGUUGUACUAGAACUGCUGCUUGCCUGCUGCUGCUGUGCCAUGAGGCCAGGAAAAGCACUCCCAGACAGGCCGACCUUCCAAGGUGUGUUAUAAAUGGGGUAAAA
This 884-nucleotide long non-coding RNA is filed under the name Corvus moneduloides (New Caledonian crow). Its description in RNAcentral is "lncRNA (ENSCMUG00000017376.1)". The record is from RNAcentral. Lineage: Eukaryota; Metazoa; Chordata; Aves; Passeriformes; Corvidae.